Long non-coding RNA from Suricata suricatta (meerkat), 506 nucleotides. RefSeq lists it as uncharacterized. NCBI's taxonomy places the organism in Eukaryota, Metazoa, Chordata, Mammalia, Carnivora, Herpestidae. The record is from RefSeq and is a predicted model, not a curated record. The transcript has 3 exons.
AAGUAGCCCUUCCGGAAACCUAGAGGGUCAGUUCUGCUUGCCCCCAACAUGCUGGCGGUAGGCACCCUGAAGUGGGAAGGAUGGAUGGACUAGGGCUGAGCCUGCAGGCGAAACAGCCGGUGACCAGAGACCUUGUGGUGUCCUGCCCUCUGGUACCAGCACGGACUCUAGAUGGAGUGCUUACACGAGAGCCGAUCCAGGAGAAAUUGAGGAGGAGAGCAUGAUCUGAGCAGAUACCUAGAAUUGGACACUCAGCCAAGUCACGGAGACGCCCCAGGGUUGGUUCCUUCUGGGGGUCUCUCUCUGCCGUGCCUUCACUGCCAGCCUCGGGUGAGGGGUUCCCCUUUACACCCCCUGACGCCUCCAUCACUCAUCCCAACUCCACUGGCUCGUGCUGUACCUGGCAGAGACCAACACCGAUCCCUUCAUUCACAAAUAAAUCCUGCGAUCCACGGACACGCUUCUGUUGAAUUUGUAGACGAUUUUCUCAGCAGAAUCCAAAUGAC